CAUCAAGGUUGUUCCAGUUUUCUCCAUGCCCCCCUGCCGAUUCUGCUGUGAAACCAGAUGUGAGCCCCAGGGCCUCGGGGAGAGCCAGAAACCCCACGUCCGCCGUCGCUGGCAGUUAUCGACCAGCUGCUCAACAAACACCAUGCUGACUGAAGCCUCUAUUGAGAAGAUUGUACUCUACAUCAUGGAAAAGCAGCAGCAGCAACAUAAACCGCAACAGGAACAACAACAACCGGGGCAAAAGAAGGGACACACGAAAGACAAAGUUCUUUCAGCUAGAACUGGAUGCCACACAGAAAAGGGAGGCAGAGAAAGGACAGCAGAAGAGGAAGAGAACUGAUUGCCAGUCCACAGGUCGCAAGUGUCGGUUCUGUAAGAUGUAACUGAAGCAGGGCCCAAACAGUCGUCACAUUCACACUGGGUUCCCUGGAGUAACAGGGAAGUACAUUUUCUGCAUCUUUUCACUAUACAAAGAUCAGGGCAUGGACAAGGAAAUGACGCGGAGAGAGCUCCAGGGGUGUCCUUUCUUUGAGAAAGAAAAACAGAGAUGUGAGGCUGAAAGGAGGAAAGAA
Long non-coding RNA from Gasterosteus aculeatus aculeatus (three-spined stickleback), 572 nucleotides. NCBI's taxonomy places the organism in Eukaryota, Metazoa, Chordata, Actinopteri, Perciformes, Gasterosteidae. The record is from Ensembl.